RNAcentral lists this long non-coding RNA (217 nucleotides) under Nicotiana benthamiana. RNAcentral's name for it is "long non-coding RNA (NBEN_LNC008485)". Lineage: Eukaryota; Viridiplantae; Streptophyta; Magnoliopsida; Solanales; Solanaceae. The record is from RNAcentral.
UUUCCCCCAUUAUUUCCUUUCUCUUAUUUUUCUUUCAUCACUCUCUCUUCUCCCUCCCCCAAGCCGCCGGCGCCGCCCAUCGCCGCCGCCAGAAAUCUCCAACGGCGGCAGCCGACCUCAAAUCCGACCCAAAAUUUUACUAUGUAAUCUCCACCACCUCCUCUUUCCAUAUCUUCAAACCAAAUCCUUCAGAAAACUCUCAAACUCCUUGAAUCUU